This 425-nucleotide ribosomal RNA is filed under the name uncultured bacterium. RNAcentral describes it as "partial 16S ribosomal RNA". It matches the Rfam family "Bacterial small subunit ribosomal RNA", at positions 354 to 796 of the family's 1533-position model. The record is from RNAcentral.
GUGGGGAAUAUUGGACAAUGGGCGCAAGCCUGAUCCAGCCAUGCCGCGUGAGUGAUGAAGGCCUUAGGGUUGUAAAGCUCUUUCAGUAGGGAAGAUAAUGACGGUACCUACAGAAGAAGCCCCGGCUAACUUCGUGCCAGCAGCCGCGGUAAUACGAAGGGGGCUAGCGUUGUUCGGAUUUACUGGACGUAAAGCGCACGUAGGCGGAUUGGUCAGUUAGAGGUGAAAUCCCGAAGCUCAACUUCGGAACUGCCUUUAAUACUGCCAGUCUUGAGGCCGGAAGAGGGGAGUGGAACUCCUAGUGUAGAGGUGGAAUUCGUAGAUAUUAGGAAGAACACCAGUGGCGAAGGCGGCUCACUGGUCCGGUACUGACGCUGAGGUGCGAAAGCGUGGGGAGCAAACAGGAUUAGAAACCCCUGUAGUCC